GUGGGGAAUCUUGCGCAAUGGGCGAAAGCCUGACGCAGCCAUGCCGAGUGAAUGAUGAAGGUCUUAGGAUUGUAAAAUUCUUUCACCGGGGACGAUAAUGACGGUACCCGGAGAAGAAGCUCCGGCUAACUUCGUGCCAGCAGCCGCGGUAAUACGAAGGGGGCUAGCGUUGCUCGGACUUACUGGGCGUAAAGGGCGCGUAGGCGGACAGCUUAGUCAGAGGUGAAAGCCCAGGGCUCAACCUUGGAAUUGCCUUUGAUACUGGCUGUCUUGAGUUUGGGAGAGGUGAGUGGAACUCCGAGUGUAGAGGUGAAAUUCGUAGAUAUUCGGAAGAACACCAGUGGCGAAGGCGACUCACUGGCCCAAUACUGACGCUGAGGCGCGAAAGCGUGGGGAGCAAACAGGAUUAGAAACCCGGGUAGUCC
This 425-nucleotide ribosomal RNA is filed under the name uncultured bacterium. Its description in RNAcentral is "partial 16S ribosomal RNA". It matches the Rfam family "Bacterial small subunit ribosomal RNA", at positions 354 to 796 of the family's 1533-position model. The record is from RNAcentral.